RNAcentral lists this unclassified non-coding RNA (973 nucleotides) under Hevea brasiliensis (rubber tree). The record is from RNAcentral. Lineage: Eukaryota; Viridiplantae; Streptophyta; Magnoliopsida; Malpighiales; Euphorbiaceae.
ACUCCCUCUCUCUCCAGUAUCUCUCCCGGAUCCGCCGUCUCCUUAUAAAAAUCUAUCAGCUCUACUCUUAUUGCAGAGUUUUCUUCUCCAUUGCUUCUCUCUCGUGAUAACACGAUUGAGAGAUCCAGAUCGUCUUAGUUGUUGAGAUGGCAACAUCAAAAGGUGGAGCCACGGGAUGGUACAGCGCAAAAGUGAAAGCUGUUCCGUCGGGGGACUCUCUGGUUUUAACAGCCAAGUCCAGCAACAAGCCUGGCCCUCCACCGGAAAGGACCAUCACUCUGUCUUCUCUUAUCGCUCCAAGAAUGGCCCGAAGAGGAGGCGUUGAUGAGCCCUUUGCCUGGGAGAGCAGGGAGUUUUUGAGGAAGCUAUGCAUAGGAAAGGAUGUCAUAUUUAAGAUAGAUUAUGCUGUACCUUCCAUUGGCAGAGAAUUUGGGAGUGUGUUUGUAGAUGACCAAAAUGUUGGAGCGUUAAUUGUUUCGGAAGGCUGGGCAAAGGUCAGGGAGCAGGGUCAGCAGAAAGGCGAGGCCAGUCCUUUUCUUGCUGAAUAUCAACUUCUUGAAGAACAAGCUAAGCAAAAUGGUCGGGGACGAUGGAGUAAGGCACCUGGUGCUGUUGAGGCAUCCAUCAGAAAUCUACCUCCCUCUGCUAUUGGUGAUCCUAGUAACUUGGAUGCCAUGGGUCUUCUUGCUGCAAACAAGGGCAGACCCAUGCAAGGCAUUGUUGAGCAAGUUCGUGAUGGCAGCACUGUCCGGGUCUAUUUGCUUCCAGAUUUUCAGUUUGUCCAGGUGUUUGUUGCUGGAAUCCAGGCCCCUUCAAUGGGUAGAAGAGCAGCAUCAGAUACUGCUAUGGAAAAAGGACUAAACUCUGAGCAAAAUGGAGAUGCUUCUGAAACUCAAGCCCCUUUAACCUCUGCACAGAGACUUGCAGUCUCUACAGUAUCUACGGAAGUUGCUCCUGAUCCAUUUGGAAUAGA